This 468-nucleotide ribosomal RNA is filed under the name uncultured bacterium. Its description in RNAcentral is "partial 16S ribosomal RNA". It matches the Rfam family "Bacterial small subunit ribosomal RNA", at positions 28 to 507 of the family's 1533-position model. The record is from RNAcentral.
GACGAACGCUGGCGGCGUGCUUAACACAUGCAAGUCGAACGGAAAGGCCCUGCUUUUGUGGGGUGCUCGAGUGGCGAACGGGUGAGUAACACGUGAGUAACCUGCCCUUGACUUUGGGAUAACUUCAGGAAACUGGGGCUAAUACCGGAUAGGAGCUCCUGCUGCAUGGUGGGGGUUGGAAAGUUUCGGCGGUUGGGGAUGGACUCGCGGCUUAUCAGCUUGUUGGUGGGGUAGUGGCUUACCAAGGCUUUGACGGGUAGCCGGCCUGAGAGGGUGACCGGCCACAUUGGGCCUGCGGAACGGCCCAGAAGCCUACGGGAGGCAGCGGUGGGGAAUAUUGCACAAUGGGCGGAAGCCUGAUGCAGCAACGCCGCGGGCGGGAUGACGGCCUUCGGGUUGUAAACCGCUUUCGCCUGUGACGAAGCGUGAGUGACGGUAAUGGGUAAAGAAGCACCGGCUAACUACGUG